Molecule: long non-coding RNA, 5735 nt
Organism: Mytilus californianus (California mussel)
Lineage: Eukaryota; Metazoa; Mollusca; Bivalvia; Mytilida; Mytilidae
Exons: 3
Source: RefSeq, a predicted model, not a curated record
UGAUAUGAAUUGAUAAGCUACAACAAAAGACAUACACAAGUCUUAUUCACUAUACCUCUACGUAUAAAGGACAUUUAAAUGUGUACUUCUAGCAUUACACUGUAAUGUGACGGCCAGUGACUAGUAUAGGCACUAUACACGAUGUUUUUCAUUUAAUACUAAUUAUUUCUAUUGGGGGAUUUAAAAAAUGUUCGAAAUAUGAAAAGAAGGGAUACAACAACUUUUGGUCCGAGCAACUUCUGAUUUAUCUUCCUCUUACAAUUCAACCAAGCCUCGGACAUGGAAGAGGAAACUUUGGAUGAGGUAAGAACAUCAAAACCUCUUAAACAACUUAUAUAGUGUGACUUUACUCUCAUAGAAUAUUGUUAUGUACUUGUAAGUUUGAGUUAACUCAGAAUAAAUAUCAAUAUUUUUGCAAAACUUAUGAAUAUGUCUUAGAUAACAGAUAGGUGUAUAUCCAAUAUGUCAAUGACACAGCUACCAACUACACAAGUAACCCUGUAUAAGUCUUCAUAGAACUUUCAAUAACAGAUCACUGUCUUUUUAAUAUAUCAAUGAGACCUCUACCCAACAUCAAAAGUAACCAAUGGGCCUCGGUGGCCAAGUGGUCUAAGUAGUUCUACUACUGUAAUCACUAGCCAGUCAACACUGAGGUUGUGAGUUCGAACCCCGCUCGUGCGGGUGCACUUGACUCCAAUCUUAAUUGACUAGGAUUGUCAGUUUUCCUAUCGAAGGUCGGUGGUUUUCUCCGGGCACUCCGGCUUCCUCCACCAAUAAAAACUGGCCGCCACGAAAUAGCCCAAAGGUGGCGCUUAAAACAUUGUAAAAGUGGCGUUAAAACACCAACAAUCAAUCAAUCAAUCAAAAGUAACCAUGCAUAGGUCAACUUACGGUUUUUAAUAACAGAUCAAUUGCAAUUCAAUAUGUCAAUGUGACAGCUACCCAUGAAUACAAAUAUAUAUUUAGGAGUAAUACCACAAUGGUUUUUCCCCUAUUUGUCUUUCUUAAAAUGGCAUUUUUUUUAAAUUAUGCAGAAUCUAUCUUUGUUUCGAAUAAAAAACUACUUGGCAUGAGUAAAAUUGUAUCCUCUCCAGUACUACAGCGAACAUUUCACAUAACAUUUCAUUGCAUGUAAGAUAAUAACCAUUACCGGAAGUAGACCAAUCAAAUUUUUACCCCCUUUUUGUCCUGUUUACAAUUUUAAGUAAUCAUGUCACCUUAUAUUUUCAAAAUAUUUUAUAGAAACACAGAAAAAAAAAGAAUGGUGAUUCGAAACCCACAAUAUAUAUGUUGAUGAAUCAGAAAUGUUUUACUGCAAUAAAAUGUAGGAUUAAUUUUAAUUAAUUAACUGUCAAAUUCAAGGAAAUAAUUUUUGUCAAUCCUUUUUCGUAUGAAACCGGAUGUGACGUACAUAUAUAUUAUGAGUUUGUGUUAUAACACCUAAAAAUUGUCAAUAUCAACUAACACAUCACUGCAUAUGUCUAUUCAUGCAAAUGAAAAUCUCCAUACGUGAGCUAUAUUAGAUCAACUACAAGCUCAACAUCAGAAAAAGAAUUAUUCAAAUAAUCAGACAAACAAAUAAGAAUUAUAAAGGAGGAGAAAAAAAAACCAAGGGGCAAUGAAAAAACAUAAGGAAGGAGGAAAAAAAGAGGACAAAAAGCAUAAGGAGAGAGUAAACAACUAAGAGCAAUACAAAAACAUAAAGAAGGAGGUGGAAAUUAAACCAAAGAGAGAAAACAUAUUCGAAGGAAGAUGAAUGAAACCAAGGGGAUAACAAAAAUACACGAGAAUGGAAGAAGAAAUGAACAAAAAGAGCGAUAACAAUUAAAAAAGGAGGAUGAUAGAAACCAAGUGGGCAUUUAUACAUUCAAAAGAUGGACGAAGACGGAUACGAAAGGACCAAUACAAAUAUAUCUACAUACGUGUGAAUAGAUUUAUAAUCUAUAUUAGAUCGACUACAAGCUCAAAAUCAGAAAAAAAAACAAUUAUAUAAUCAGAGACAAACAAAUGAGUAUUAUCAAGGAGGAGUAAAGAAACCAAGGGGCAAUGAAAAAAACAUAAGGAAGGAGGAACAAAAGAGGACAAAAAGCAUAAGGAGAAAGUAAACAACUAAGAGCAAUACAAAAACAUAAGGAAGGAGGUGAAAAUUAAACCAAGGAGAGAAAAACAUAUUCGAAGAAGAUGAAUGAAACCAAGGGGAUAAAACAAAUACACGAGAAUGGAAGAAGAAAUAAACGGAAAGAGCCAUAACACUUAAAGAAGGAGGAUAAAAGAAACCGAGUGGGCAUUUAUACAUUCAAAAGGUGGACGAAAACGGAUACGAAGGGAUCAAUACAAAUAUAGACGGAGGGGGGAGUUAAAAACCAAGAAAGACAAUUAAAAAAAUGCUGGGAAGAAAAGCAAUAUAAACAUCAGGCGGAAGGAGGUAGAAAAUAAAGGGCACAAUUAUGGUACAAAGAGGGGAGAGGAGAGAAACCAAAGUUACAAUUCAAAUCCAUAAAGAGGGUUGAAGACAUAAAACAAGGGGGCAGCAACAAACAUAAGGAGGGAGGUGGAAAGAAAGGAGACACAAUCAACACAUAAGGAGGGAGGAAGAAAAAAAACAAGGAGGCAAUAUCAAAAGAAACAUUAGAAGGGAUGAGGAGAAAAACCAAAAUUGAAAUGAACAAACAUAAAGAGAAGGGAAAAGAACAACUAAGAAGGUAAUGGGAAUACAGAGGGAGGAGGAAAGAAAGAGCUAAUUAAAAUAUACGAAUAGAACCAUGCCGGCAAUUAAAAUGAUAUUGAAGCAGGAGGAAUGAAAUCAAGUGGACAGCACAAAAAUCACAAGGGAAACGGAGUAAAGAAACCAAAGGCGAUAAAAAAACGAACAUUAGGGCGGAGGUCAAAAAACAAAAAGGGCAGUUAAAAUCAUGUGGAAAGAGUAGGAAAACAGGGGGCAAUGUAAUUAAACUUAUCAAAGAAAACAUAACCAAGGUGACAAUAAAAAACGUAAGGAGUGGAGUAGAAGGAAACCAAGGGAACAAAAGAUAACAUCCGAACAGAGAAAGAAAAAAAACGAGAGGGGCUAUUAGAAACAUAAGGGAGGAGGUAAAACACAACCGAGGACGAUACAAGUAAGAAGAAUGAAUAAAGAGAAUAUAAACUAAGUGGGAACUACGUAUUAUAACAUAAGGAGGGAGAAGGAAAAACCAAGAAGGAAGUAAACAAAAACCAAAAAAACGGGAGGAGAUAGGAAGGAAUCUAUGUACACAUAAAUAUAGAGGAAGACAGAAACCAAGGGGUGCAAUUGAUAAGGAUAGGAUCCAAGUUACAAUAUACUAGUCCAGUACCCACGAAUGAAGUCCCUUAAUAAAUCUUCCAUCUUUUAAAUGGGAUAGUGUAGCGAGAUUAAAACUAUGUAAAGAUGCUUAAAAUUGUAGUAUUGUAAACUGUAUUCAUUAAACUUUCAACUUCUGUUUAAUUUUGAGUGAUUCUGAAAUGUAUAUGGUGGAUGAUUGUCUGAGUAAAUGGUCCAAAUUUUAUUUCCGAUUUUAACCAGAAAGUUACUUAAAUGACCCUAUUAAUACUCAAACCAGUAUUGCUCUCUGAAAUGCCGGUCAUGACCCUCUAAGAAUACUCCAGGAAACAAUGAAGAGGGCUACUAGUAUGGGAAAGUAACUGAAAUUUUGUAGUCUAAUAUAGGGAAUAAAACAUCUGCCCCUCGAUUUGGAUAAAACUGCAUUGAAGUAAUGGGGAAAGUCUUUGGGUCCCCGUUCCUUAUACGAAAAGAGGAUGUAAGAAACAAAAAAAGGCAAUACAAUUACAUUAUGAGGGAGGAGUAAAUUAACCAAGAGGCAAUAAACAAUAUAAGUAGACAGGAGGGAAGAAGAGCGACAAAAAAUAAAACAUCAGAAUGGAGGAGGAAAGAAACUAAAACGGCAAUAAAAACACAUAAGGAGGGAGGAGAAAAGAAACCAAGGGGGCGGUACAAAAUAUAAGGAGAGGGUAGGAAAGAAACCAAGGAAGGCAAUUAAGACAAAAGCAGGGAGGAGACAUGAAAGAAAGGAGACGAUGAAAACCAAAAGGCGGAAAGAAGUAGGAAAGAGGGGCACAACUAUUGUAUAAAAAGGCGAAAGGAAAGAAACCAAGGGUGAUAUUCAAAAUCAUGGAUAGAAGACAUGAACCAAGGGGGAAGAAACACCAUAAGGAGGAAGAUUGAAAGGAAGGAGACAAAAUCAAAACAUGAAGAAAGACGAGGAAAAACCAAUAAGGCAAUAAACACAUCAGAUGGGUGGAGGAGAAAAACCAAAGUGCAAUACACAAACAUAAGGAGAGAAGAGUUGGGAAAACCAUGAGGGUAGCAAAACAUCAAACGGGAGGAGUAAAGAAUGAGACAAUACAAACGUCAUAAGGGAUUAGGAAAGCAACCAAGGGGGCAAUACAAAACAUAAAGAGUGAGGAGGACACAAAACAAAGGACGAUAUUUUAUUUGGAAGGAGAUUAAAAAAAACUAGUCGUAAAUACAAAUACACGAGACGGGAAAAAGAAUGAAACCAAGGAGACGAUAAAAAUAAAAAGGAGGGAGAAUAAAAACUAAGUGGGAAAUACAAAUGAUAAGGAGACAGGAGGAAAGAAACCGAGAGGACAACACAAAAGGGGAGGGAAGAAAGAAACCAAAGGAGCAAACCAAACAAUACAGAAACAUAAGGACGGAAGGGUAAAAUAAAGAAGCCAUUAAAAAUUACAAUUGGCGAGUAGGAACGAAGGGGGCACAGCAAACAUAAGAAUGAAAGAGGAAAGAAACCAAGGGGGCAAUAAAAACAUUAAGAAGGCGUAGGAAGGAAACUAACCGGGCAAUACAAAACAUCAGAAACCAAGGUUUACACAAAAACAUAAGGAGUGAGGACAAAACAAAACCAAGGACGAUAAGAUUAUAAGGAAGGAAAAACAAGUGGGCAAUAAAACACACGAUGAGAGAGGGCAAUACAAACAUAAGGAGACAGGAGAAAUGAAGAGCAACAAUGAAAAAAAAAACAUAAUUAUUGAGGAGGAAAGAAACUAUAACGACAAUAACAACAUAUAAAGUGGGGUGAGAAAAUAAAACUUGGAGACAGUAAACAACACAAAGACGGAGGACGAAAAAGGGAUAAUUUAAAAAACGUCAGAUUGGAUGAGGAAAGAAACCAAUGGGGCAAUGAAAACACAUAAGUAUGGAAGAAAAAAAAUCAAAGGGCAGUAACACACAUAGGCAGGAAGACAUGAAGGAUGAGAAUACAAAAAAAUCAAACGGAAGAGCAUAGAAACCAAAAUGGCUUUACAAAAACCAUAAUUGGGAGAGGAACAAAACUAAGAUGGCAAUCCAAAUGAUAAGGUGGGAGACUUACACAUAUAUAAGUAUGGAGGACGGAAGAAACCAAAGGGCAAUAUAAAACAUAAGGAUUAGGAGGAAAUUAACCAAACGAGAACAAAACUUAAGGAGUGAAGAGGAUAGAUACUUACAGUAGGGAGAAUCAAAAAACAUGACUGAGGAGGAAAGAGGCCAAGGAGCAUAACAAACAUCGCAGGAUAUAAAAUAAUAAGCAAGGAAGAGGAUAGUAACAGAAUGAGGAAACACAAUAAGGAGGGAGGUUGAGAGAAACCAAUAGGACAAUAUUAGCAUACAGAGUGAAGAGAAAAGACACGAAGGUGCAAUACACAAACUUUUGGAGUGAAGAGGAUAAAUAAAAAGGAGCAGUAGGAAAGAAUACUUUGAA